GGAAUUGUGUCACUCCCAUUGAGCAGCUGUGGGGCCCUCUCCCACAUGGCCCAGGUCCACCACUCUGUCAAAGGUCGCACAGCCCAGACAAAAACAGGACACAGCAGUGUGUGAAUGAGCCGGGCUUUCUCCUUCCCUCCACGUAAUAGAAGGUGCCUGAGGUUGUUGAAACACAGUCCAUUUCUCCUGGGAAUGACAAGAAUUUGAGGGAUGCUGACUUUCAAGGAAUACUGCAUGACAGGCAUCAAGAUAAACCUGAUGAAGAAAACAUAGGCCAGAAUCUGGGAAUCGGGAGCAAAGUAAUACAGCUUCGGGGACAGGCACGUAAUGAGGUCAUGAUGUAGGAGACUCCCUGCAGGACUGGCGGCCCCUGUUCCCUGGGUUGUUCUGGCUCUUUCAGUGCAGGGACGCAAACACAGGAAGAGCCCCCAUGGCCCUCGCUGGGAAAGACGGGCUCACUCGUUGCACGUGAGCACUGCAGACCAACAGCAUCACAGAAAGGAGGCUCUCCUGCCGUACUUGUGACUCAUGUCUUAAAGAUACCCCAAGAGAAUUGAACAAAGCUCUAUCGUGAGAUCCUUCUGAGGAGAGAAUAAAAAGGAAAUAUGUAUUUUA
Molecule: long non-coding RNA, 615 nt
Filed under: Homo sapiens (human)
Lineage: Eukaryota; Metazoa; Chordata; Mammalia; Primates; Hominidae
Description: HSALNT0355860
Source: RNAcentral